Molecule: ribosomal RNA, 253 nt
Filed under: uncultured bacterium
Lineage: Bacteria
Description: partial 16S ribosomal RNA
Rfam family: Bacterial small subunit ribosomal RNA
Source: RNAcentral
UACGUAGGGGGCUAGCGUUGUCCGGAAUCAUUGGGCGUAAAGAGCGUGUAGGCGGCCAGGUAGGUCUGGUGUGAAAACUCGAGGCUUAACCUUGAGAUGUCAUCGGAAACCAUUUGGCUAGAGUCCGGAAGAGGAAAGUGGAAUUCCUGGUGUAGCGGUGAAAUGCGCAGAUAUCAGGAAGAACACCAAUGGCGAAAGCAGCUUUCUGGGACGGUACUGACGCUGAGACGCGAAAGCGUGGGGAGCGAACAGG